GCACAUACUGUGAGCUCGAUGAGUAGGGCGGGACACGUGGUAUCCUGUCUGAAUAUGGGGGGACCAUCCUCCAAGGCUAAAUACUCCUGACUGACCGAUAGUGAACCAGUACCGUGAGGGAAAGGCGAAAAGAACCCCGGCGAGGGGAGUGAAAAAGAACCUGAAACCGUGUACGUACAAGCAGUGGGAGCACGCUUAGGCGUGUGACUGCGUACCUUUUGUAUAAUGGGUCAGCGACUUAUAUUCUGUAGCAAGGUUAACCGAAUAGGGGAGCCGAAGGGAAACCGAGUCUUAACUGGGCGUUAAGUUGCAGGGUAUAGACCCGAAACCCGGUGAUCUAGCCAUGGGCAGGUUGAAGGUUGGGUAACACUAACUGGAGGACCGAACCGACUAAUGUUGAAAAAUUAGCGGAUGACUUGUGGCUGGGGGUGAAAGGCCAAUCAAACCGGGAGAUAGCUGGUUCUCCCCGAAAGCUAUUUAGGUAGCGCCUCGUGAAUUCAUCUCCGGGGGUAGAGCACUGUUUCGGCAAGGGGGUCAUCCCGACUUACCAACCCGAUGCAAACUGCGAAUACCGGAGAAUGUUAUCACGGGAGACACACGGCGGGUGCUAACGUCCGUCGUGAAGAGGGAAACAACCCAGACCGCCAGCUAAGGUCCCAAAGUCAUGGUUAAGUGGGAAACGAUGUGGGAAGGCCCAGACAGCCAGGAUGUUGGCUUAGAAGCAGCCAUCAUUUAAAGAAAGCGUAAUAGCUCACUGGUCGAGUCGGCCUGCGCGGAAGAUGUAACGGGGCUAAACCAUGCACCGAAGCUGCGGCAGCGACGCUGAUGCGUUGUUGGGUAGGGGAGCGUUCUGUAAGCCUGUGAAGGUGUGCUGUGAGGCAUGCUGGAGGUAUCAGAAGUGCGAAUGCUGACAUAAGUAACGAUAAAGCGGGUGAAAAGCCCGCUCGCCGGAAGACCAAGGGUUCCUGUCCAACGUUAAUCGGGGCAGGGUGAGUCGACCCCUAAGGCGAGGCCGAAAGGCGUAGUCGAUGGGAAACAGGUUAAUAUUCCUGUACUUGGUGUUACUGCGAAGGGGGGACGGAGAAGGCUAUGUUGGCCGGGCGACGGUUGUCCCGGUUUAAGCGUGUAGGCUGGUUUUCCAGGCAAAUCCGGAAAAUCAAGGCUGAGGCGUGAUGACGAGGCACUACGGUGCUGAAGCAACAAAUGCCCUGCUUCCAGGAAAAGCCUCUAAGCAUCAGGUAACAUCAAAUCGUACCCCAAACCGACACAGGUGGUCAGGUAGAGAAUACCAAGGCGCUUGAGAGAACUCGGGUGAAGGAACUAGGCAAAAUGGUGCCGUAACUUCGGGAGAAGGCACGCUGAUAUGUAGGUGAAGCGACUUGCUCGUGGAGCUGAAAUCAGUCGAAGAUACCAGCUGGCUGCAACUGUUUAUUAAAAACACAGCACUGUGCAAACACGAAAGUGGACGUAUACGGUGUGACGCCUGCCCGGUGCCGGAAGGUUAAUUGAUGGGGUCAGCGCAAGCGAAGCUCUUGAUCGAAGCCCCGGUAAACGGCGGCCGUAACUAUAACGGUCCUAAGGUAGCGAAAUUCCUUGUCGGGUAAGUUCCGACCUGCACGAAUGGCGUAAUGAUGGCCAGGCUGUCUCCACCCGAGACUCAGUGAAAUUGAACUCGCUGUGAAGAUGCAGUGUACCCGCGGCAAGACGGAAAGACCCCGUGAACCUUUACUAUAGCUUGACACUGAACAUUGAGCCUUGAUGUGUAGGAUAGGUGGGAGGCUUUGAAGUGUGG
RNAcentral lists this ribosomal RNA (1792 nucleotides) under Escherichia coli. RNAcentral's name for it is "partial 23S ribosomal RNA". It matches the Rfam family "Bacterial large subunit ribosomal RNA", at positions 390 to 2167 of the family's 2925-position model. The record is from RNAcentral. Lineage: Bacteria; Pseudomonadati; Pseudomonadota; Gammaproteobacteria; Enterobacterales; Enterobacteriaceae.